AAUACUGAGCCUUCAUUCAAACUAAAAGGCUGGAAGGGAGGCAGCUGCCUUUGUUUGCCAUGGAUGGGUAGGGGCUGCACUGAGCAGCACCGGUGUUCUUCAUCCGGCUGCACCCCCAACAGAGCUCUUUCUUCCCCAGAUCCCUUUUACAGUUGGAUUCUCCCUCUUGGAUCUGGCUCUGCCUUAGUCCGACCUAGAGGGAUCAGCUUCGCCCACGCCCACUCUCACCCGGAACCUUUCAUCUCUUAUUGAAGCCUUUUAGGCCCAUUGGGAUGUUCAUUAGAACUCUGAAAACUACAGUUCUCCCCUUUAUGAGGACUGCACCACAGCUCGCCCUCUCCUGGGUUCCGGUAAGAAGAGAUUCCAAUACCACUCUUUUUUCAGAAUUCAGAAAGGCAAGAGACCACCUUACUGAGCUUCAAACUGGGGCUGGGAACGCUGCCAUGAAUUGGGCUUGGUCUGUCUGAAGGGAGCCACCUUUUCGACAAUCCUUAGACUUCUUUUGCCUGUUGGAAUUACACCUUGGAUCGUGGCGAAGUCUAUAGAGGUCAGAUUAAGAAGAACCAAAGCAGAAUAAACGUAGAACCCGAUGCUGAGUUCACGACCUGGUUGCAGAGUGAGCCCAUGGGACAGCCCUCUGAAAUUAUACUGCUUACAACCAUGCUGAGUCUGCAAGGACUUCGUCCAAGCCUUUCCGUCCAGGACCUCAAACAGAUCCAAUCACAAGAAGAGAGAUUUCAGGAAAGAGAAAAUUAUUCCUAUCAUCGGGGUUUUUGAAGAACAUGAAAUGACUGGGAAAAUAAUCAUGUUAAGUGGAAAAAAAAAAGAAAUCUAUCUGUUGUAAUUUUCAAAUAAUUUUUAAAUAAAUUUGAAAAAUUAAGAGAACUAUAUAUAUAAUACAUUCCUAAUCUUGUGAAAAAUAUAUAUGCAUUAAUAUUAUUGAAAGAAAUAUAUCAAAAGGUGAACAGCAAUUAUCACCAAUCUAGAUUAUGAGAUUAGGAGUGAUUUUUUUUCUUUGUCCUAUACUAUUUAAUAUUUUCUACCAUUAAAAUAUUCUGAUUUUCUAAUUAGAAUAGUACGUUAGACAAAGAAGGACAAAUAUCACAUGAACUCUCACUCUCUUAUGGAACAGAUCUUGUGGAAUCUAAAAAAGUUGAACUCAUAGAAAAAGAGGAAAAUGAUGGUUACCAGUUAGAAAAAAGGAAUAAGUUCAAGAGAUCUAUUGUACACCAUGGUCAAUAUAGUUAACAAUAUAUUUUAUACUUUAAAAUUGCUAAGGUAGUAGAUUUUAAGUGUUCUCACCACACAAAAAAAUAAGUAUGUGAAAAGCAUAUGGUAAUUAGCUUGAUUUAACCACGCCACAGUGCAUACAUAUGUCAAAACAUCAUGUUGUAUACUAUAAAUAUAUACACUUUUUGUCAAUUUUAAACAGGUUAUAAAAAAACAUGUUAUUGUUGAUAAUUAUGAAAAAUUUUAAUGAUGUGGAAAUGUGUACAGUAUAAUGAUAAAUGAAAGAGUAGUAAAAAUCCUUAUAAAAUAUAAUUACAAAUGUGUUGGGUGGAUAAUAUAAAAAUCUUAACAGCUAUUUCUGAGCUAAGUGGUGGAGCAUGGGUAAUUUUUAGUGCCUUCUGUGUCAGGCUGUUCUUGCAUUGCUAUGAAGAAAUACCUGGCCAGGCGCGGUGGCUCACGCCUAUAAUCCCGGCACUUUGGGAGGCCAAGGCGGGUGGAUCACCUGAGGUCAGGAGUUCGAGACCAGCCUGGCCAACAUGGUGAAACCCCGUCUCUACUAAAAAUACAAAAAUUAGCCAGGUAAGGUGGUGCGUGCCUGUAGUUCCAGCUGCUGGGGAGGCUGAGGCAGGAGAAUCGUUUGAACCCAGGAGGCGGAGGUUGCAGUGAGCUGAGAUAGCCUGGGUAACAGACCAAGACUCUGUCUCAAAAAAAAUAAAAAUAAAAAUAAAAAAGAAAUACCUGAGAAAAGGUAAUUUAUAAAGGAAAGAGGUUUAAUUGGCUUGCGAUUCUUCAAGUUUUACAUGAAGCAUGGCAGCAUCUGAUUUUAGGGAGGCCUCAGGAAGCUUCCAAUCCUGGCAUAAAGCAACGAGGAGCAGGUACGUCACAUGGCGAAAGCAGUAACAAGAGAGAGAGUAACGGGGGAGGUGCCACACCCUUUUAAACAAUCACAUCUCAUGAGAACUCACUAUCCUGAAGACAGCACCAAGGGGAUAGUGCUAAACCAUGCAUGAAAAAUCCGCCCCCAUGAUCCAAUCGCCUCCCACCAGGCCCCACCUCCCACAUUGGGGAUUACAAUUCAACAAGAGAUUGGGGCGGGGACAGACGGCCAAACUAUGUCACCUUCAUUUUACUUUUCUUUUUCCUACAGCAAAAAUAACCAUGUGAUAUUUGUGUAAUUGUAAUAAAGAACUACAAAAUCACUUUUAUCUUUUUAAAUACAAAAUUCAAACUAAAAUCAUUAUUGUUAGUUGGAGAGAUGGUGGAGGAAGGAAAACAGAAGCUGAGGAUGACACUACUAAUAAGUAACAAUAAUGACAAUGACUCCUGUUACUUAACGGCUUGCUUAGGUUCACAGUCUUUUUUAUUUGCUAGACGCUUUAACGGCUUCUUCCAAGCAAACAAAAGUCUUGGAAUCCAAACAGUCCCUUUACUCCUCACCCCUCAUACCUCAUGGAGGGAAAUUCUUGGUUAUGUGCAGACACAUAUGUGGACUAAGUUAGCAUGGCUGUGGCACCCCUUACCUGACACGGAUUUAGACUUUAGCUUUUCAAACGUUUUGGUCUGUAUUUAUUUAUUUAUUGAGACGGAGGCUCACACUGUCACCCAGGCUGGAGUGCAGUGGCGCCAUCUCCGCUCACUGCAACCUCCGCCUUCCCAGGUUCAAGCGAUUGUCCUGCCUCAACCUCCCGAGUGGCUGGAAUUACAGGCGCCCACCCACCACACCCAGCUAAUUUUUCUAUUUUUAGUAGAGACGGGGUUUCACCAUGUGGUCUCGAACUCUUGACCUCAGCUGAUCUGCCCGCCUCGGCCUCCCAAAGUGCUGGGAUUACAGGCGUGAGCCACAGCGCCCGGCAAACCUUGGUCUUUAAAUCACGUUGGCAAGACUGAACUCAAACGUAAGCUCUCUGUUUUGGUUUUGAGAGUUGUGCCUUCUUAUCUAAAACAGUAACAAUUUAAAUAUUUUUGUUAUUUAAACAAACCAAUAAGAUCUGAGGAAUGAGCAACCGUCACAGUUGUCUGAAUAACACAUUGCACGGUAGUGGUGGCUGUUUCAUAACGGACUUGGCACAGCAGUGCCCUCUUAGAGACAAAGGUGGACCAUUGCGCCGCCGUGUGGUAUUGAGGGGUAUGGCGCCUUCUUCCUUUUAUAAUUACGCUUUUUCUAGUUAAGAACUAGAAUAACCUUCGCGGUCGCUGGGUGGAGCCCUUUCAAUUUGUUGUGUGGGCUAACUAAGUGUGGAAACUAAGACUCAGGCAAGUGAUGUUACUGGGGCUUGAACCCAAAUCUUCACCCUUUGUGCUCCCAGCUUUUCAAGUUAACUCAGGGAUGUCUGCACAUAGCUGGAGGGAAACGGAGCUGUCUUAUGCAAAACUCAAUUUCACAUUCAAAGAAACUGAAGUGUAGAGAGGAUAAGUGACUUGCUAAAAGGUCUGCGCUAAUUUGGGGUCCUUCGUUUUUUAUUCUACUCAUUCGUUUAUUCACCAAAUAUUUAUACACGUGUCUACUACAUGUCAGGCACCAUUCAAGGCACUAGAGAUAAAAUAGUGAACACAGCAAACAAAAAUCCCUUCCUGCAAAAAUCCCUUCAUCUCUUCCCUUCAUAAAGCUCAUGUUCUAAUGGGGGAAACAAAGUAAGCAACUAAAAUAUAUAAUACCAGAUUAGAGAGGGGUAAAUGCAAAGAAGAAAUAAAAGGGAAGGGGGAUACGAAAUGUUAGGAGGGGCUACUUUUCUGAGUGGCCAGAGAAAACCUCCUUGAUAAGGUGACUGGUGACUUUUUUUUUUUUUUUUUUGAGAUAGAGUCUCACUCUGUGGCCCAGGCUGCAGUGCAAUGUCAUGAUCUCAGCUCACUGCAACCUCUGCCUGCCAGUUCAAGUGAUUUUCCUUCCUCAGCCACCACGUAGCUGAGACUACAGGCACAUGCCACCAUGCCCAGCUAAUUUUUGUAUUUUUAG
RNAcentral lists this long non-coding RNA (4183 nucleotides) under Homo sapiens (human). RNAcentral describes it as "non-protein coding lnc-PCNX1-2:13". The record is from RNAcentral. Lineage: Eukaryota; Metazoa; Chordata; Mammalia; Primates; Hominidae.